Molecule: non-coding RNA, 4393 nt
Organism: Xyrichtys novacula (pearly razorfish)
Lineage: Eukaryota; Metazoa; Chordata; Actinopteri; Labriformes; Labridae
Source: the annotation of a GenBank genome assembly
AUAGCGCCCCCUAAGGUGAAAAUUCACACUAUUGACUGUCACGCCUGUACGCUUUGUCAUAUUGACACAAAAAUUGACACACACAUGUAUCUCAAUAAGAUCUACAAAAAAGUCAGUGCGGGCGUAUCUGUCAAAUGUACGGUUAAAGGGUUAUUGCGCAUUUUUUGCAGAUCUGCACACAUUGGAAUUUCGCUAACUCCUCCGAAGGCUUUCGGUCCACCGGCACCACAUUUGCUCAGGCCAAUCUACACUCCAUGGCCAUUCAAAGUUGUACAAAUCAUGAUGCUGCACCCCAUGGUUUAGGUUCUAGGGGGCGCCAAAAAUAACCCUAAAAUCCACAUUCUUAAAAGUUUUAUAACUUUUUAUUUUUGCCCUCACUGGCCUCCAAGUUUUCUAGGAUGAUGCAAUGUCCAGCCAUCAACACAUUUGUGAAGGAAUUCUUACUCCCCAAAAGAGCGCCCCCCCAUGGCAGGACAAAAAAGUCAAUUUUUUCUUGUCCCCUAAGGUGAAAAUACACAUUGUUGAAUGUCACGCCUGUACGCUUUGUCAUAUUGACACAAAAUUUGACAAUCACGUGUAUCUCAAUAAGAUCUACGAAAAAGUCAAUGCGCGCGUAUCUGUAAAAUGUACGGUUAAAGGGCUAUUUCGCAUUUUUUGCCGAUUCGCACACAUUGGAAUGUGGCUAACUCCUCCUAAGGCUUUCGUCCCACUGACACCAAAUUUGCUCAGGCCAAUCUACACCCCAUGGCCAUUCAAAGUUGUAAAAAUCAUGACGCUGCACCCCAUGGUCUACGUUCUAGGGGGCGCCAAAGAGGACCCAAAUAUCCACAUUUUUAAAGUCUUAUAACUUUUUAUUUUUGUCCUCACUGGCCUCCAAGUUUUCUAGGAUGAUGCAAUGUCCAGCCAUCAACACAUUUGUGAAGGAAUUUUUUCUCCCCAAAAGAGCGCCCCCCAUGGCAGGAGAAAAAGUCAAGUUUUUCCUGCCCAUCGCUCAAUGGCUCAAACGCAUCGCUCUCUCGGCAAAACCGAAAGGAGGAGCAACUUGCCAUUUGGAUAUAUACUAGCUGUUUGUGCCCUCACUCAUGGUCCAGACUUUUUUCAAAUAGGACAUGUAGUUUGUCUGCAGCGACCGUUUUGGUAGAAACUGCGCCUCCCAUUCAUUAUAAUGGGAAAUGACCACAGACAAGUGCGCACACCAUCUUUGGACCUUGAGUGUGAUGCAAUCGGGAGGGGGAGGCGGUCGCGCUGGGGGCGGCGCGACGCGGCUCGGGCCCGACAGUGCCCCACCGGGGCCCUAGUUCGUUAUUAUUUUUCCUCCGCUUUAAACUGGAAAAUGGCCCACUUCCCACUGGCGAAAACUCAGGAAAUUUGGCAGGACGACCGGGCCUGGUGAAAAAUUCGAUAUUCUGAAGUCGCCCAAACAAUAAAAUGCAAAAUGGCUCCAUAGCGCCCCCUAAGGUGAAAAUUCACAUGACGGCUGUACGCUUUGUCAUAUUGACACAAAAAUUGACACACACAUGUAUCUCAAUAAGAUCUACAAAAAAGUCAGUGCGGGCGUAUCUGUCAAAUGUACGGUUAAUGGGUUAUUUUGCAUUUUUUGCAGAUCUGCACACAUUGGAAUUUCGUUAACUCCUCCGAAGGCUUUUGUUCGACCGGCACCACAUUUGCGCAGGCCAAUCUACCUCCCAUGGCCAUUAAAAGUUGUACAAAUCAUGACGCUGCACCCCACGAUUUAGGUUCUAGGGGGCGCCAAAGAUAACACUAAAAUCCACAUUCUUAAAAGUCUUAUAACUUUUUACUUUUGUCCUCACUGGCCUCCAAGUUUUCUAGGAUGAUGCAAUGUCCAGCCAUCAACACAUCUGUGAAGGAAUUUUUACUCGCCAAAAGAGCGCCCCCCCAUGGCAGGAGAAAAAAGUCCAUUUUUUCUUGUCCCCUAAGGUGAAAAUACACACUAUUGACUGUCACGCCUGUACGCUUUGGCAAAAUGACACAAAAAUUGACACACACAUGUAUCUCAAUAAGAUCUACAAAAAGUCCAUGCGCGCGUAUCUGUCAAAUGUACAGUUAAAGGGUUAUUCCGCAUUUUUUGCCGAUACGCACACAUUGGAAUUUCGCUAACUCCUCCGAAGGCUUUCGUUCCACCGGCACCACAUUUGCUCAGGCCAAUCUACACCCCAUGGCCAUUAAAAGUUAUUCAAAUCAUGAUGCUGCACCCCAUGGUUUAGGUUCUAGGGGGCGCCAAAAAUAACCCAAAAAUCCACAUUCUUAAAUGUUUUAUAACUUUUUUUGUCCUCACUGGCCUCCAAGUUUUCUAGGAUGAUGCAAUGUCCAGCCAUCAACACAUUUGUGAAGGAAUUUUUACUCCCCAAAAGAGCGCCCCCCCAUGGUAGGAGAAAAAAGUCAAUUUUUUCUUGUCCCCUUACAUGAAAAUACACAUUGUUGAGUGUCACGCCUGAACGCUUUGUCAUAUUGACACAAAAAUUGACAAUCAUGUGUAUCUCAAUUAGAUCUACGAAAAAGUCAAAAAGCGCGUAUCUGUAUAAUGUACGGUUAAAGGGCUAUUUUGCAUUUUUUGCCGAUUCGCACACAUUGGAAUGUGGCUAUCUCCUCCUAAGGCUUUCGUCCCACCGAUACCAAAUUUGCUCAGGGCAAUCUACACCCCAUGCCCAUUCAAAGUUGUAAAAAUCAUGACGCUGCACCCCACGGUUUACGUUCUAGGGGGCGCCAAAGAUGACCCAAAAAUCCACAUUCUUAAAAGUCAUUUUGGCCACUGCAGGAGUACAGAGUACUGCAGUUCUAGGGGGCGCCAAAGAUGACCCAAAAAUCCACAUUCUUAAAAGUCUUUUUGGCCACUGCAGGAGUACAGAGUACUGCAGGAUACACACACAUAUACACACACGCCAACAUACACACACACACACACACACACACACACACACACACACACACAGACACACACACACACUCAGAGUCUGUUUUUCAGCACCUGCAAAAACAUGCUAUUUACAUAUUUGACUAGAAUGCAGAGGCCCCUUUUUGCCCCUGAAAAAAAUCAAAUUUCAAACACAACUUGACUGCUCAUUUCUCCAAAAGACAACCAUGAAGCUCCAUCCAAACCUGAAGCAGGCAGUUGGUGCAUGUGUACAGUCACCUGAGGAAAGUGAGGUGACUACUUCUGAGGAGAACAUGAGCAGUGAAGAUUCACCUUGGAGCUAGAACAGGGACGUGCACAUGAUUAUACAGGGGCAGGGGCUCAAGUUUUUUCCAGUCAUUUAUACAAUAUUGAAAUUAAUGUGAAAUUAAAAAACAAGUAUUAAUAGAAAGGUUAUGACUGUCCUGUGUAGAUGACAGUGAUAUCCAAUAGGCUAGGCACUCACGAGGCUGGCUGUGGCAAGUGUAAGUGAAAGCAACACGCACUGGCAGGAAGAACAGCAAACGCCGAUGAAGGAAAGGGUCUUUGCAGUGAUGGGCGUUACCAGAGAGGGCGAUGGCCAGAGGACGCGAAUGGGACGGGGAGGCAGCGCGUUGGGGGGGGCAGCGCGACACGGCUCGGGCCCGCCAGUGCCCCAACGGGGCCCUAGUUAUUAUUAUUUUUCCUCCGCUUUAAACUGGAAAAUGGCCCACUUCCCACUGGCGAAAACUCAUGAAAUUUGGCAGGACGACCGGGCCUGGUGAAAAAUUCGAUAUUUUGAAGUCGCCCAAACAAUAAAAUGCAAAAUGGCUCCAUAGCGCCCCCUAAGGUGGAAAUUCACACUAUUGACUGUCACGUCUGUACGUUUUGUCAUAUUGACACAAAAAUUGACACACAUAUGUAUCUCAAUAAGAUCUACAAAAAAGUCAGUGCGGGCGUAUCUGUCAAAUGUACGGUUAAAGGGUUAUUUCGCAUUUUUUGCCGAUCCGCACACAUUGGAAUUUCGCUAACUCCUCCGAAGGCUUUCGUUCCACCGGCACCACAUUUGCUCAGGCCAGUCUACACCCCAUGGCCAUUAAAAGUUGUACAAAUCAUGACGCUGCACCCCACGGUUUAGGUUCUAGGGGGCGCCAAAGAUAACCCAAAAAUCCACAUUCUUAAAAGUCUUAUAACUUUUUAUUUUUGUCCUCACUGCCCUCCAAGUUUUCUAGGAUGAUGCAAUGUCCAGCCAUCAACACAUUUGUGAAGGAAUUUUUACUCCCCAAAAGAGCGCCCCCCCAUGGCAGGAGAAAAAAGUCAAUUUUUUCUUGUCCCCUUACAUGAAAAUACACAUUGUUGAGUGUCACGCCUGAACGCUUUGUCAUAUUGACACAAAAAUUGACAAUCAUGUGUAUCUCACUUAGAUCUACGAAAAAGUCAAAGAGCGCGUAUCUGUAUAAUGUACGGUUAAAGGGCUAUUUCGCAUUUUUUGCCGAUUCGCAC